This 448-nucleotide ribosomal RNA is filed under the name uncultured organism. RNAcentral's name for it is "partial 16S ribosomal RNA". It matches the Rfam family "Bacterial small subunit ribosomal RNA", at positions 334 to 797 of the family's 1533-position model. The record is from RNAcentral.
CACUCCUGCGGGAGGCAGCAGUGGGGAAUUUUACGCAAUGGGGAAACCCUGACGUAGCGACACCGCGUGAGCGAAGAAGCCCUUUGGGGUGUAAAGCUCUGUCAGCUGGAACGAAAACAAUGACGGUACCAGCAGAGGAAGCAUCGGCUAACUACGUGCCAGCAGCCGCGGUAAGACGUAGGAUGCGAGCGUUGUCCGGAUUUAUUGGGCGUAAAGAGUUCGUAGGUGGUUUGUUAAGUUUGGUGUUAAAGAUGGGGGCUCAACCCUGGGACUGCACUGAAUACUGGCAGACUCGAGUGUGGUAGAGGCUAGUGGAAUUCCCAGUGUAGCGGUGAAAUGCGUAGAUAUUGGGAAGAACACCGGUGGCGUAGGCGACUAGCUGGGCCAUAACUGACGCUGAGGAACGAAAGCCAGGGGAGCGAAUGUGAUUAGAAACCCUUGUAGUCCC